Molecule: long non-coding RNA, 894 nt
Organism: Pseudopipra pipra
Lineage: Eukaryota; Metazoa; Chordata; Aves; Passeriformes; Pipridae
Exons: 4
Source: RefSeq, a predicted model, not a curated record
GGGGUGCGCGGGGACCGUGGGGUGGGGGAGCCUCGGCGGUGGCGACAGUGGGGCAUCGCGGGCGGUGACUGUGGCGAGGGGACACUGAUCAGGCAUUUCCUCUGCUGCCCAAAAUAGCCGGGAAGUGACCCGCGGUCGCGCAGAGCCGCGCGCUCCGUGGGCAGGCACAGGUGCCAUGCGGGGGAAGAAGGGAUGGGGACGACAGGAAGACAAGGUCAGGGAUGGUCUAAGGCAAAACACUGCCGUAGUUGAAAUGAGUGCUGUCUCGUGCCCUCUGCUCCCCAUCCUUACAGAACAGAGCCUGUUGUGUGGAACCUGUUCAGGCUGGAGAUGGUGGAAAGGCUAAAGUUCAAGUUCACAGACCCAAAAAAGAGAAGAGCCAGAGCUGGAGUUUAAGAAUUUGAGGAAACGUGAUUAUAUCUGUUUAUCAAAAUUUAGUCUCUCCACCUGAUGCUAAAUAACAAGGCAACAGGAGGUGGCUCUCCCAGAUCACAGACAUCAUCUGCUCCAGCAAUCGAUACUCCGCUUGUGUCUCUAGUGCCUCCAGUGCAUCUCGUGCAGCCUGGCAGUAGCUCUCCUUACAUCUGCUGUUUGUGAGGCAGGCAGAGAGCCGAUCACAGAGGGAGAACAACACCAGGCACAGGAGUCACUCUUACCUCCACUUCUGUUACAGCCAAGGAGGAUGAGAAACAUGCUCUUUCCCCUCAGGCAGCCGGAGGAAAAAGAAACCAGAGAGGACCACAAAACCAUCCCAGUACAACAUCUGUGAGUACUGCGCGCCGCCUCUAGUGGGCUGGGACACAAGCACAUGAAGAUAACCCUGUGUGGCAACUUUGCAUCAGUUGUUCUGUGGUUUGCUUUCACAUGAGAGGAAUUAAAUGCAAGCUGACACAA